UACUCGAGUGGCGAACGGGUGAGUAACACGUGGGUGAUCUGCCCUGCACUUCGGUAUAAGCUUGGGAAACUGGGUCUAAUACCGGAUAGGAGCCAUCUUUAGUGUGGUGGUUGGAAAGUUUUUUCGGUGUAGGAUGAGCUCGCGGCCUAUCAGCUUGUUGGUGGGGUAAUGGCCUACCAAGGCGGCGACGGGUAGCCGGCCUGAGAGGGUGACCGGCCACACUGGGACUGAGACACGGCCCAG
RNAcentral lists this ribosomal RNA (243 nucleotides) under uncultured Actinomycetales bacterium. RNAcentral's name for it is "partial 16S ribosomal RNA". It matches the Rfam family "Bacterial small subunit ribosomal RNA", at positions 88 to 334 of the family's 1533-position model. Lineage: Bacteria; Bacillati; Actinomycetota; Actinomycetes; Actinomycetales. The record is from RNAcentral.